GAGCCUUGGAGAUGAUGUAGGAUUCAUCAUUUGCUGUAUCCAGAGACAUGUGUGCUCGGCAUAUUCUGUGAUUCUUGAAUGAGCUAUGGACCACAGCACAGUAAAACACACCGGGAGCCUAUGAUGCCUUAAAUCACAGGGAAGCUGUGGGCUGUCAAAUGUUUCAUGGUGCUGCAGUUCACAGACAUAUCUCUGCUCAGCAAGCCUGGGGAGAAAGAGUCUGUACAGAGCCAGGACAGAAUAGCUGCAUCAGUUAACCUGGCAGGCUCACAGCUCCAAGGCUG
This is a long non-coding RNA of Passer domesticus (house sparrow), 284 nucleotides long. RefSeq lists it as uncharacterized. NCBI's taxonomy places the organism in Eukaryota, Metazoa, Chordata, Aves, Passeriformes, Passeridae. The record is from RefSeq and is a predicted model, not a curated record. The transcript has 3 exons.